UACGAAGGGUGCAAGCGUUACUCGGAAUUACUGGGCGUAAAGCGUGCGCAGGCGGUUCGUUAAGUCAGAUGUGAAAGCCCCGGGCUCAACCUGGGAACUGCAUUUGAAACUGGCGGGCUUGAGUGUGGCAGAGGGGGGUGGAAUUCCGCGUGUAGCAGUGAAAUGCGUAGAGAUGCGGAGGAACACCGAUGGCGAAGGCAGCCCCCUGGGCCAACACUGACGCUCAGGCACGAAAGCGUGGGGAGCAAACAGG
This 253-nucleotide ribosomal RNA is filed under the name uncultured bacterium. Its description in RNAcentral is "partial 16S ribosomal RNA". It matches the Rfam family "Bacterial small subunit ribosomal RNA", at positions 524 to 776 of the family's 1533-position model. The record is from RNAcentral.